RNAcentral lists this unclassified non-coding RNA (646 nucleotides) under uncultured Prochlorococcus sp. RNAcentral's name for it is "partial 16S-23S ribosomal RNA intergenic spacer; may also contain 16S ribosomal RNA and 23S ribosomal RNA". The stretch from base 304 to 376 matches the Rfam family "tRNA". The record is from RNAcentral. Lineage: Bacteria; Bacillati; Cyanobacteriota; Cyanophyceae; Synechococcales; Prochlorococcaceae.
UUGUGGAGGAGGACGCCGAAGGUGGGGCUAAUGACUGGGGUGAAGUCGUAACAAGGUAGCCGUACCGGAAGGUGCGGCUGGAUCACCUCCUAACAGGGAGACAACAAAAUGUUUAAUAUUAUUAUUUUGUCACCUUAGGUCGAUCGGUAUCUCACGUUCUUAAUUUAUUAAGAAUUUCAUUUCCUAAGUUUUUCUAGGUCACACCCAUUAUUUUCCUGGGCCAUUAGCUCAGGUGGUUAGAGCGCACCCCUGAUAAGGGUGAGGUCCCUGGUUCAAGUCCAGGAUGGCCCAUAUCUCUAUGUUGGGGGUAUAGCUCAGUUGGUAGAGCGCCUGCUUUGCAAGCAGGAUGUCAGCGGUUCGAGUCCGCUUACCUCCACUGAUUACCACCUCUUCCAUAAUCUGUAGAAAGGAAAAUUUUUGAGUUGUGAUCAUUAUUCUGAAAGAAUCUAGCUUCCUAAUGAAACCAUUAAGAUGCUGGACUCAUUGAAUUAAUUUCAUUGUUUUCAGAGAACCUUGACAACUGCAUAGAUUAUUUUUAAAGACAAUAAGCAUUUUUAAUGAUGCAGAUUUAUUAUUUGUGCAAAUGCAUUAAUAACAAUUCUAUUAAGCUGAUGCUUCAAUUAUGAAGUUAUUGGUCAAGCUACAA